AUUUCCAGCAGCAAUGAAGAUAGUUUUCGCAUUCCUAUUUUCAUUUGUCAUUCAACAUUCUUCUGGGGAAAUAUUGAGGCCUUUAUUCCCUUUUCUCGCUACUGACGAAAUGAAAUUUGUCCCCUGGAUGAUAAAGUUCGUACAAUACGAUGAAGACACAGAAUGGGAUAAAAUGUGUUGCUUGAGACGGAACUUUGAACUAGUUAAAAAAAUUAUAAAUGCUUUUGACCGCGCGUUUCGCAAAAUUUCAGAUAAUUCUAAGCGGACAAGAAAUGAAUUCAGGGAAACAAAAAAACGUUUAAGAAAAAUUUGGACGGGUGUUCAAGACGAUUUAAAGGCAUAUGAUGAACAGAGAAAGUCUAAAAAAGGAGGAGUGUCAACCCUCUUAAAAUUAACUAAUGCGAGAGUUUCCCUAAUCUUUAAGGAAAUUAAGGAAAUGCUGAGUUACGAUUCUGUGAAACCUGAUUAUAAAGAACAUAGCAAACUAUACAUAAAACUUUUUGUAAAUUUGAACUCUUUAAUGGGUAAAUCUUUAAAGUGUAUGCACAAAUUUUGGGAUAAAUAUGAUACACAUAUAAAUCUGAAAUAUUUCUAAACAUUAUAAAUAGAACUAUACUAAUAAUAAUAAAUGUUUACUUAAUUUUUGGCCACA
Molecule: long non-coding RNA, 652 nt
Organism: Drosophila takahashii
Lineage: Eukaryota; Metazoa; Arthropoda; Insecta; Diptera; Drosophilidae
Source: RefSeq, a predicted model, not a curated record